Non-coding RNA from Kalmusia sp. IMI 367209, 109 nucleotides. Lineage: Eukaryota; Fungi; Ascomycota; Dothideomycetes; Pleosporales; Didymosphaeriaceae. The record is from the annotation of a GenBank genome assembly.
GACAAGAUGGCCGAGUGGUUAUGGCGUGUGACUCAAGCGUAAGCUUGCCUCAUUAGAGGCCGCAUUCUCAUGGGCUUUGCCCGCGGGGGUUCGAAUCCCCCUCUUGUCA